Molecule: ribosomal RNA, 409 nt
Filed under: uncultured bacterium
Lineage: Bacteria
Description: bacterial SSU rRNA
Rfam family: Bacterial small subunit ribosomal RNA
Source: RNAcentral
AGCAGUGGGGAAUUUUGGACAAUGGGCGAAAGCCUGAUCCAGCAAUGCCGCGUGAGUGAAGAAGGCCUUCGGGUUGUAAAGCUCUUUUGUCAGGGAAGAAACGGUGAGGGCUAAUAUCUCUUGCUAAUGACGGUACCUGAAGAAUAAGCACCGGCUAACUACGUGCCAGCAGCCGCGGUAAUACGUAGGGUGCAAGCGUUAAUCGGAAUUACUGGGCGUAAAGCGUGCGCAGGCGGUUUUGUAAGUCUGAUGUGAAAUCCCCGGGCUCAACCUGGGAAUUGCAUUGGAGACUGCAAGGCUAGAAUCUGGCAGAGGGGGGUAGAAUUCCACGUGUAGCAGUGAAAUGCGUAGAUAUGUGGAGGAACAUCUGAUGGCGAAGCAGCUCUCUGGGUCAAGAUUGACGCUCAUG